AGCUUACGGCGCGCCCCCGAGGGCCAGGGCUUCCCCUUCCCCGCCCCCUUGGCUUUCGCAGUCAAAUCCCGCUCUCCGCCCGCCGCCCGCGGAAGUCUCACCGCGCAGCAGCACCCCCAGCCCGGGCGGUUCUGGGGACCGAAGGGCGCGGCGCGUAGGGGGCCCGUAGGAUCCAAACUGCGGAGGAGGAGCAGGAGGAGGGAGGAGGAAGAAGACAAAGGAGCAGCUUCUAGUUGCAGCUCAAGACCCGCGAGUUCACCCUCCGCGCCAAGCACCCAACUCCCGGCUCUGCCUACAGUCACCCACAGACCUAAUGAUCGACUAAGCGCCGUAAUGGCCCGAGAUGACACCAGGAGACUCCCUUGCUGUGCGCCUCCGGAAGACGCGGAACGUAGCCCCUUUCUCACACUCCUGGGACACAAAAAUACCCGACAACUCAAAGUCGCCAAACCACAUCUUUUCAUGCUUUGAAGACUUCUGCCCAAGGCUGUGGCAGGAGUAUGUCCAACUGUGAUUUGGGAUUCUUUUUAAACAUCGAAUCAAAGAGAAGAGGGGAGGGAUUCGCAACUAAAUGGUAGUUGUUUUCAAGCAAGUCUUUACGUAGCCCCAAACCUACUCUAGUAUUCGGUGAUUCAGCCCCAAAACAUCUCUGCCUGCCUUUAUGUUCGGAUCUCACUCCAUUAUUUGUCAGCACCAAGUCCUAAACCCACAAAGCGAUCGCUGUACGGGACACCAAACCCAUACCUGCCCGUCCCCUACCUUCCAGGCAACCAGUGUCAAUCUCCUCACUAUACAUAGUUCCCAACAUCCCUGCCCGAAGUGAGGAGAACGGUAAUUUAAAUAAUACAGCGGGGGAGGAGAGGACACACUGUUUUUGAAGGACUGUAAGCAUUCUGCUCUGUUCCACUCUGCGUCCUUACACUUGCUUAGCACUGACACCAAAUUUAAAUGGCGUUCCUUCAAAACUGAUGUAAUUGUAAAGAGCUGUAAAGGGCAAUGACCUCAAGUGGAUGUUUUUUCCCAGGUACCCUACAAGGUUUGCACAAAGCAAGAAAGCAUCAUGUAGCCGAAAUGCUGAAAAGUAUAGAUGCUGCAAAACCUCAUUCUGAGACUGAGAACUAUGAAUAGUCAGUGUAUUUCCUUCUGCGGUGCAGAAAAAGAACAACCAAAAAGAAAGCAACAAGGGGAGAUGCUAUUUAUUUUAAUGACACCAAAACUACCAAUCCUAGCAAUUUAAUAAAUUAAAAUCAUAGUCCUUUAAAUGU
RNAcentral lists this long non-coding RNA (1265 nucleotides) under Pan troglodytes (chimpanzee). RNAcentral's name for it is "lincRNA". Lineage: Eukaryota; Metazoa; Chordata; Mammalia; Primates; Hominidae. The record is from RNAcentral.